GUUGGGUUAAGUCCCGCAACGAGCGCAACCCUUAUCCUUUGUUGCCAGCGGUCCGGCCGGGAACUCAAAGGAGACUGCCAGUGAUAAACUGGAGGAAGGUGGGGAUGACGUCAAGUCAUCAUGGCCCUUACGACCAGGGCUACACACGUGCUACAAUGGCGCAUACAAAGAGAAGCGACCUCGCGAGAGCAAGCGGACCUCAUAAAGUGCGUCGUAGUCCGGAUUGGAGUCUGCAACUCGACUCCAUGAAGUCGGAAUCGCUAGUAAUCGUGGAUCAGAAUGCCACGGUGAAUACGUUCCCGGGCCUUGUACACACCGCCCGUCACACCAUGGGAGUGGGUUGCAAAAGAAGUAGGUAGCUUAACCUUCGGGAGGGCGCUUACCACUUUGUGAUUCAUGACUGGGGUGAAGUCGUAACAAGGUAACCGUAGGGGAACCUGCGGUUGGAUCAC
Molecule: ribosomal RNA, 452 nt
Filed under: Escherichia coli
Lineage: Bacteria; Pseudomonadati; Pseudomonadota; Gammaproteobacteria; Enterobacterales; Enterobacteriaceae
Description: bacterial SSU rRNA
Rfam family: Bacterial small subunit ribosomal RNA
Source: RNAcentral